GACUUGAAGACUACACAGAGAGACUCCGAGUCCCCCUGGGACUGACCUGAGAUGACCAGGGAGCUGGUAUUUUUAGCUUCCAGAGGAGCCUCAAAAUUACAGUUAAGUCUACAGUCAGACAGAAGGAAACUGGCAUUUAUUAAACACCAACUUUGUGCCUGGAA
Pan troglodytes (chimpanzee) is the source of this 164-nucleotide long non-coding RNA. RefSeq lists it as uncharacterized. Lineage: Eukaryota; Metazoa; Chordata; Mammalia; Primates; Hominidae. The transcript has 2 exons. The record is from RefSeq and is a predicted model, not a curated record.